UGGGGAAUAUUGGACAAUGGGGGCAACCCUGAUCCAGCAAUGCCGCGUGAGUGAUGAAGGCCUUCGGGUUGUAAAGCUCUUUUGGCGGGGACGAUGAUGACGGUACCCGCAGAAUAAGCCCCGGCUAACUUCGUGCCAGCAGCCGCGGUAAUACGAAGGGGGCUAGCGUUGUUCGGAAUUACUGGGCGUAAAGGGCGCGUAGGCGGCCUUGUUAGUCGAGUGUGAAAGCCCUGGGCUUAACCCGGGAAGCGCGCUUGAUACUGCAGGGCUUGAGUGUGGGAGAGGAUGAUGGAAUUCCCAGUGUAGAGGUGAAAUUCGUAGAUAUUGGGAAGAACACCGGUGGCGAAGGCGAUCAUCUGGACCACAACUGACGCUGAGGCGCGAAAGCGUGGGGAGCAAACAGG
Molecule: ribosomal RNA, 404 nt
Filed under: uncultured bacterium
Lineage: Bacteria
Description: bacterial SSU rRNA
Rfam family: Bacterial small subunit ribosomal RNA
Source: RNAcentral